GAUGAACGCUGGCGGCGUGCUUAACACAUGCAAGUCGAACGGUGAAGGCGGAGCUUGCUCUGCUGGAUCAGCGGCGAACGGGUGAGUAACACGUGAGCAAUCUGCCCCUGACUCUGGGAUAAGCGCUGGAAACGGCGUCUAAUACUGGAUACGAGCUGCGAAGGCAUCUUCAGCAGCUGGAAAGAACUUCGGUCAGGGAUGAGCUCGCGGCCUAUCAGCUUGUUGGUGAGGUAACGGCUCACCAAGGCGUCGACGGGUAGCCGGCCUGAGAGGGUGACCGGCCACACUGGGACUGAGACACGGCCCAGACUCCUACGGGAGGCAGCAGUGGGGAAUAUUGCACAAUGGGCGAAAGCCUGAUGCAGCAACGCCGCGUGAGGGACGACGGCCUUCGGGUUGUAAACCUCUUUUAGCAGGGAAGAAGCGAAAGUGACGGUACCUGCAGAAAAAGCGCCGGCUAACUACGUG
RNAcentral lists this ribosomal RNA (468 nucleotides) under uncultured bacterium. RNAcentral describes it as "partial 16S ribosomal RNA". It matches the Rfam family "Bacterial small subunit ribosomal RNA", at positions 28 to 507 of the family's 1533-position model. The record is from RNAcentral.